UUCGCAAUGCCCGAAAGGGUGACGAAGCGACGCCGCGUGCGGGAAGAAGGCCUUCGGGUUGUAAACCGCUGUCGGGAGUUAAGAAAUGCAGAGAUGUUAAUAGCGUCUUUGCUUGACUAAGGCUCCGGAGGAAGCCACGGCUAACUCUGUGCCAGCAGCCGCGGUAAUACAGAGGCGGCAAGCGUUGUUCGGAAUUAUUGGGCGUAAAGAGCACGUAGGCGGCUAUGUAAGUCGGUUGUGAAAGCCUUCCGCUCAACGGGAGAACAGCAUCCGAUACUGCAUGGCUUGAGUGUGGGAGGGGAGAGUGGAACUUCUGGUGGAGCGGUGAAAUGCGUAGAUAUCAGAAGGAACGCCGGCGGCGAAAGCGACUCUCUGGCCCGCAACUGACGCUGAGUGUGCGAAAGCUAGGGGAGCAAACGGGAUUAGAUACCCCGGUAGUCCUAGCCGUAAACGAUGGGCACUAAGUAGAGGGGUUUU
Molecule: ribosomal RNA, 477 nt
Filed under: uncultured anaerobic ammonium-oxidizing bacterium
Lineage: Bacteria
Description: bacterial SSU rRNA
Rfam family: Bacterial small subunit ribosomal RNA
Source: RNAcentral